UGGGAACUGCGUUNUGAACUGGGUGACUAGAGUGUGUCAGAGGGAGGUAGAAUUNCACGUGUAGCAGUGAAAUGCGUAGAGAUGUGGAGGAAUACCGAUGGCGAAGGCAGCCUCCUGGGAUAACACUGACGUUCAUGCCCGAAAGCGUGGGUAGCAAACAGGAUUAGAUACCCUGGUAGUCCACGCCCUAAACGAUGUCGAUUAGCUGUUGGCCAGCAUGACUGCUUAGUAGCGAAGCUAACGCGUGAAAUCGACCGCCUGGGGAGUACGGUCGCAAGAUUAAAACUCAAAGGAAUUGACGGGGACCCGCACAAGCGGUGGAUGAUGUGGAUUAAUUCGAUGCAACGCGAAGAACCUUACCUGGUCUUGACAUGUACAGAACCCUCCAGAGACGGAGGAGUGCCUUCGGGAGCCGUAACACAGGUGCUGCAUGGCUGUCGUCAGCUCGUGUCGUGAGAUGUUGGGUUAAGUCCCGCAACGAGCGCAACCCUUGUCAUUAGUUGCCAUCAUUAAGUUGGGCACUCUAAUGAGACUGCCGGUGACAAGCCGGAGGAAGGUGGGGAUGACGUCAAGUCCUCAUGGCCCUUAUGACCAGGGCUUCACACGUCAUACAAUGGUCGGUACAGAGGGUAGCCAAGCCGCGAGGCGGAGCCAAUCUCACAAAACCGAUCGUAGUCCGGAUUGCACUCUGCAACUCGAGUGCAUGAAGUCGGAAUCGCUAGUAAUCGCAGGUCAGCAUACUGCGGUGAAUACGUUCCCGGGUCUUGUACACACCGCCCGUCACACCAUGGGAGUGGGGGAUACCAGAAGUAGGUAGGGUAACCGCAAGGAGCCCGCUUAC
Molecule: ribosomal RNA, 841 nt
Filed under: uncultured bacterium
Lineage: Bacteria
Description: bacterial SSU rRNA
Rfam family: Bacterial small subunit ribosomal RNA
Source: RNAcentral